Molecule: long non-coding RNA, 2362 nt
Organism: Musa acuminata AAA Group (dessert banana)
Lineage: Eukaryota; Viridiplantae; Streptophyta; Magnoliopsida; Zingiberales; Musaceae
Exons: 4
Source: RefSeq, a predicted model, not a curated record
UAAAUACUGUAUCCGUCAAUCAUGCUUGACAAUUAGGUGGAGUUUCUACCAGCACCAAGGGCUAAGCUCUGGCAGCACAAAGAAGUGCUGCUGUAACUCUGGGAAUCUGGAGGUUCUAACACUAUUGAUUUUUUAGAAGCAUGAUAUAGUUAAAUAUAGCCAAACAGCUCUUGAUUAUUGGAAUUCACCCUUUCAUGAAUGUGCUACCUUAUUGUGCUCUUCAUAAUCAUGUUGUGAACUCGGCAGUUGUUGGUAACAUUUGACACACUCGUUGUUGAUGGAAGUCUUAUGUAUUGGACCUCACUUUUUUGUUGGCAGAGACUUUAACUAGUGUUGCAGGACUACCUUUUAUUUCUUUUUUUAGUCGUCUGAAGAUGCACGGCCACGAGUUUCUUUUGUCCUGCACUUUUUUACACCAACGCAGGUUUCUAUUGUACUGCACUUUAUUUGUAUGGUAUUGAGCUAGUUCUUUUUGUAAUGUUUCUCGAGUCUAUUGUGGUUCUUGAUCAUGUGUGGUUUGUACAUGCCGCUACAGUAAGUCCUUCCAUUUUUAAUGGUCACUUUGAUCACUUGCUGCAGCAGUAACAUGGAAUCAGAUCCUGUAAAAAUUGCUGUUGAUGGAGUUGAAACAUUUAAGAAAGAAAACCGUGAUUUGAUUUUUGUGGAUACAAGAGGACAACACAAACAGGAAGCUUCUCUGUUUGAAGAAAUGCCGAAGUGUCAGUAGCAACAGUAGAUAUAUUGUUCUUUUCAAUCACAUAUUCAACUGGCAGAUGUUCUAACAGAAAUUUGCUGGUUUUUCUUGUUCCUUUUUCUCAGAAUACCGAUCUUAUAAUAUUUGUCAUGGAGAGCAGUAUUGGUCAAGCAACAUUUGAUCAAGCACAAGCAACUCUCUGGCCUUAUUUUCAAAUAUAACUUCAAAAAAAGUGUAGCCAUUGGAGCUGUGAUUAUUAUUUUCAAAUAUAACUUGCAAGGUCAACAAUCUGGUCCGGACCUCUCUGGCCUUUUUAUCUUUUUUUUUCCUUUUCUGAAACUUUGAUUGAUAUUUUGUUUAGCAUGUACACUGCAACUUUUCAUUAUUACUAAGUACUAAGUUAUACCCUCUUGCAGGCAGCUUCUUCUUCCUUUUUGGUGACCUACCUUCCUUGAGAAAAUUUUUGAAUUGUCCAUUGGAAACAAUAGGAAAUUGUAUUGCACUAUACAAUGUUGUCUUGUAUAGCACAUGAUAUGAUUAUAUAGCAAGCUGUAAUUAUAUUUCACAGACACUUUUUUUCCAACGUAUAGAAACUUGUGUUUGUUGCAUAUACAAAUUUGAAUUUACAUUUGACUCCCAGUUUUUCUGUUAAAAUAGAUAGUGAUUAUUGCUACUUGGUUUGCUUGCAGAGUUGCAGCCACCAAAAGACCAGCCCCUUUAUUGGAACAGGAGAGCACAUGGAGGAGUUUGAAAAUUUCGAUGUCAAGCCAUUUGUCAGUCGUCUUUUAGUUGUACCUACUGAUCAACAACCUGAGCUUUUUCAAAAGCUCUCCAAAGGAAGCUUUACCCUGCGGCUUAUGUGCCAGCUGUUCAAAAACAUUUCUCAAAAUGGAUCCUACAGUUAUUCUCUAUGCUACCUUGGUUUAGUGCCAAGUUGAUGUCAGAAAGUCAUGAAAAGGAAAGUCAAGCAAAAAUCAAGCUGUUUAUGACAAUAAUGGAUUCCAUGACAAAUGCAGAGCUGGACGGCACAAACCCAAAACUGAUGAAUGAAUACCAUACACUGCACACUGCGAGGGGUUCGGAAAGGUCAGUCAGAGAUGUCACAGAAAUGCUGGAGGAACACAAGCGCGCUUCGCAAAGAUGUGCAGCGAGAUGAAGGGGUAGUUCAAGAUCUCAGAAAGGUGAAAUGAGUGCAUUGUCUCGGAACAUGAAUGCAUGGCACAUGAGCAAGGUCCUACCACCGCAGAUGCUGAAGCAGAUCGGUGGCAUGGGUGGCCUCCAGAACUUCAUGAAGCAGAUGGGAUUGAAAGACAUGGGUGGGUUGGUGGGAUCUUCGGAUGAGGGUACAAAUAGAAUAAUACUUUAUAUAAUCUAACACAUCGCCUUGCGAUUAUACUUCACUGUGCUGUGAUUAUCAAGAUGGUUUAUUUUUCGGACAUCCAUGAAUCCUUCGAUUAUUUCGGAUGUCUUUGCCUUGCCUGUGCAUCGUUGGAUGAUUUAUGCAAGGAAUGGGCCGUGUUGUGUGUAUCUAAACUCAAGAAGUGAAGCACCUUAAGGUGUUAAAGGUGUCUAUAAAUCAUUCGAUCCAACUCAGUGUCGAUCGAUGUCUCAAUCAUCAAGAACUGGUGGUAGUUGAGUUUUGUUAUAUGUGGUCAAAUUUGUGACAAU